RNAcentral lists this ribosomal RNA (856 nucleotides) under uncultured bacterium. RNAcentral describes it as "bacterial SSU rRNA". It matches the Rfam family "Bacterial small subunit ribosomal RNA", at positions 51 to 880 of the family's 1533-position model. The record is from RNAcentral.
AGACAUGCAAGUCGAACGCUAAUUUCAGGGUGCAAUAUUCUGAGGUUGGAGUGGCGCAAGGGUGCGUAACACGUGGGUAAUUUGCCGCGAAGUUGGGGAUAACUCGCUGAAAGGCGAGCUAAUACCGAAUGUGAAAGCCGGGGGGCAUCUCUUGGUUUUUAAAGUUGGGGACCGCAAGGCCUGACGCUUCACGAUAAGCCCGCGGCCUAUCAGCUAGUUGGUGAGGUAACGGCUCACCAAGGCUAAGACGGGUAGCUGGUCUGAGAGGACGACCAGUCACACUGGAACUGAGACACGGUCCAGACACCUACGGGUGGCAGCAGUCGAGAAUUUUUCUCAAUGGGCGAAAGCCUGAAGGAGCGACGCCGCGUGGGGGAUGAAGGGCUUCGGCCCGUAAACCCCUGUCAUUUGCGAACAAACCUUGCGAUUUAACAGAUCGCAAGCUGAUUGUAGCGAAAGAGGAAGGGACGGCUAACUCUGUGCCAGCAGCCGCGGUAAUACAGAGGUCCCAAGCGUUGUUCGGAUUCACUGGGCGUAAAGGGUGCGUAGGUGGCAGGGUAAGUUUGAUGUGAAAUCUCCGGGCUUAACCCGGAAACUGCAUUGGAUACUAUUCGGCUGGAGGGUUGGAGGGGGGACUGGAAUUCUCGGUGUAGCAGUGAAAUGCGUAGAUAUCGAGAGGAACACCAGUGGCGAAGGCGAGUCCCUGGACAACUCCUGACACUAAGGCACGAAAGCUAGGGGAGCAAACAGGAUUAGAUACCCUGGUAGUCCUAGCCGUAAACGGUGCGUAUUUGCUGUAAAAGGAAUCGACCCCUUUUGUGGCGUAGCCAACGCGUUAAAUACGCCGCCUGGGAAG